Molecule: ribosomal RNA, 45 nt
Filed under: Alternaria sp. MY-2011
Lineage: Eukaryota; Fungi; Ascomycota; Dothideomycetes; Pleosporales; Pleosporaceae
Description: partial 18S small subunit ribosomal RNA
Source: RNAcentral
AAAUGAACAAGGUCUCCGUAGGUGAACCUGCGGAGGGAUCAUUAC